This 78-nucleotide small RNA is filed under the name Nitratireductor pacificus pht-3B. RNAcentral describes it as "Nitratireductor sp. Pht-3B Makes More Granules Regulator RNA (mmgR)". It matches the Rfam family "Makes More Granules Regulator RNA (mmgR)". Rfam says of the family: SuhB later renamed mmgR (makes more granules regulator) was a putative non-coding RNA found multiple times in the Agrobacterium tumefaciens genome and related alpha-proteobacteria. Lineage: Bacteria; Pseudomonadati; Pseudomonadota; Alphaproteobacteria; Hyphomicrobiales; Phyllobacteriaceae. The record is from Rfam by way of RNAcentral.
GCCUGACGCCUUUUGGGCGUUUCCUCCCUAGACUUCUGACCGUAUCGUCGAGGCGAUGCGGUCUUUUUUUGACGGCAG